Oncorhynchus tshawytscha (Chinook salmon) is the source of this 1471-nucleotide long non-coding RNA. RefSeq lists it as uncharacterized. The record is from RefSeq and is a predicted model, not a curated record. Lineage: Eukaryota; Metazoa; Chordata; Actinopteri; Salmoniformes; Salmonidae. The transcript is spliced from 4 exons.
AAUGCAAGUCUUCAAGCCUCAAGUCAAGGUUACUUAUCAGGGAGCUAACACAAGUCUUCAAGCCUCAAGUCAAGGUUACUUAUCAGGGAGCUAACACAAGUCUUCAAGCCUCAAGUCAAGGUUACUUAUCAGGGAGCUAAUGCAAGUCUUCAAGCCUCAAGUCAAGGUUACUUAUCAGGGAGCUAAUGCAAGUCUUCAAGCCUCAAGUCAAGGUUACUUAUCAGGGAGCUAAUGCAAGUCUUCAAGCCUCAAGUCAAGGUUACUUAUCAGGGAGCCAACACAAGUCUUCAAGCCUCAAGUCAAGGUUACUUAUCAGGGAGCCAACACAAGUCUUCAAGCCUCAAGUCAAGGUUACUUAUCAGGGAGCCAACACAAGUCUUCAAGCCUCAAGUCAAGGUUACUUAUCAGGGAGCCAACACAAGUCUUCAAGCCUCAAGUCAAGGUUACUUAUCAGGGAGCUAAUGCAAGUCUUCAAGCCUCAAGUCAAGGUUACUUAUCAGGGAGCUAACACAAGUCUUCAAGCCUCAAGUCAAGGUUACUUAUCAGGGAGCUAACACAAGUCUUCAAGCCUCAAGUCAAGGUUACUUAUCAGGGAGCUAACACAAGUCUUCAAGCCUCAAGUCAAGGUUACUUAUCAGGGAGCUAACACAAGUCUUCAAGCCUCAAGUCAAGGUUACUUAUCAUGCAAAUGCAGUUCAGCAGCAGACUUGUCAGACUUCCAAGUGUUUUACCAGGCAGUCUUUCACUGCUUACAACAAAGAACUACACAAAGCUGCUUUUUACUGCAAAAUAAGAGUCAGCCUCCAUGAUCAUUAGGAAACACAAAGCCUUGGUCCUGUUUUUACCAGCAGAAUCAGGGUGCAGCUGAAUGAUCAUUAGUUCAUACUGUAUUUCAGCUCCCAGCCGCUGGCUUUGAUCUUAAUGAAGCUAUAUGACCGUGACUCCUGGUACAUUUCACUCACGCGCCAUAUAAGUCUGCUUCAUUUGUAACUUAUACUCUAUGUCAGUAUGCAGACACCCCCUCACACACACAUGAACACACACACUCCUCCUCUCUGUCUAGGACCACCCUAUUGUCUCAGUUGAACAGGAGUCAGAAAUGAAACAGAAAACUUUGAUGUCUUUACUGCUGGUCUGAUCAAUCAAAUCUCUCCUAUAAAAUGUCAAUUGGUACCUGGCUCUUUCUUUUCUGAAACGGAGGAGGGAUAGAGAGGCUGAGACAGAAAGUGUCUCAGGCCAGACGUUUAAUAGUUUUAACUGUAAGACUCUAAAAGGGGUUCAGAGUUCAAAGUUGGCAGGUUUUAGUGUCCCCUUCACAGAAAGCACACUGAGGUGCCAAAAGUUUCAUUAUAACACACACACACACACACACACCCCUUCAGCUUUACAGACUAGUAAAGACAUUUAGGAAUCAUUAGUGCACACAGCUUCAAACAGGCUAAGGGUCUGGGUCUGGCAUGGAUGUGGUUUG